Molecule: ribosomal RNA, 861 nt
Filed under: uncultured Flavobacteriaceae bacterium
Lineage: Bacteria; Pseudomonadati; Bacteroidota; Flavobacteriia; Flavobacteriales; Flavobacteriaceae
Description: bacterial SSU rRNA
Rfam family: Bacterial small subunit ribosomal RNA
Source: RNAcentral
GCUAGCGGCAGCCUAACACAUGCAAGUCGAACGGUAACUUUUGGUGCUUGCACCGAAAGACGAGUGGCGAACGGGUGCGUAACGCGUAUGCAAUCUACCUUUUACUAGGGUAUAGCCCGGAGAAAUUUGGAUUAAUCCCCUAUAAUAUCAUGAAUUCGCAUGAUUUUAUGAUUAAAGCUUCGGCGGUAAAAGAUGAGCAUGCGUCCUAUUAGUUAGUAGGUGAGGUAACGGCUCACCUAGACUACGAUAGGUAGGGGUCCUGAGAGGGAGAUCCCCCACACUGGUACUGAGACACGGACCAGACUCCUACGGGAGGCAGCAGUGAGGAAUAUUGGACAAUGGACGAAAGUCUGAUCCAGCUAUGCCGCGUGCAGGAUGACGGCCCUAUGGGUUGUAAACUGCUUUUAUACAGGAAGAAAAAAUCCGACGUGUCGGAUCUUGACGGUACUGUAAGAAUAAGGAUCGGCUAACUCCGUGCCAGCAGCCGCGGUAAUACGGAGGAUCCAAGCGUUAUCCGGAAUCAUUGGGUUUAAAGGGUCCGCAGGCGGUUUUUUAAGUCAGAGGUGAAAUCCUACAGCUCAACUGUAGAAUUGCCUUUGAUACUGAAAGACUUGAGUUAUUGUGAAGUGGUUAGAAUGUGUGGUGUAGCGGUGAAAUGCAUAGAUAUCACACAGAAUACCAAUUGCGAAGGCAGAUCACUAACAAUUAACUGACGCUCAGGGACGAAAGCGUGGGUAGCGAACAGGAUUAGAUACCCUGGUAGUCCACGCCGUAAACGAUGGAUACUAGCUGUAUGUCUACCUCAGGUAGAUGUGUGGCCAAGCGAAAGUGAUAAGUAUCCCACCUGGGGAGUACGAUCGC